Molecule: long non-coding RNA, 349 nt
Organism: Gavialis gangeticus (Gharial)
Lineage: Eukaryota; Metazoa; Chordata; Crocodylia; Gavialidae
Exons: 3
Source: RefSeq, a predicted model, not a curated record
UUGAGCAGGGGGGUUGGACUAGAUAGCCUCCUGAGGUCCUUUCCAACCCUAAUUUUCUAAUUCUAGGAUAUAUUUUAGGAAACAUAAUUGCUGACUUCAUAACCCUUUAAAAUUUUGUAUAAUCCUAGAAAUGAAACAUCUUAAGUGUUCCACACACUAUUAUUUCAAUCAGCAGAAGGAGGACUUUAAAAUCGACAAAAGCUGCUUUUACUUGGAGAAGUUGAGCUACGUACUUGAAAGUGUUGUUGAAUUCUUAACCUGCCAUUUAGAUAUGUAGUGAUAUAAUCAGUGAGAUUUGAAUUCACUAGUUGAAUUCUACAUUUGUUUUGGUAAAAAUUUUCUGAAAAUA